This 146-nucleotide ribosomal RNA is filed under the name Photobacterium leiognathi subsp. mandapamensis. Its description in RNAcentral is "partial 16S ribosomal RNA". It matches the Rfam family "Bacterial small subunit ribosomal RNA", at positions 1 to 128 of the family's 1533-position model. Lineage: Bacteria; Pseudomonadati; Pseudomonadota; Gammaproteobacteria; Vibrionales; Vibrionaceae. The record is from RNAcentral.
UUUAAUUGAAGAGUUUGAUCAUGGCUCAGAUUGAACGCUGGCGGCAGGCCUAACACAUGCAAGUCGAGCGGCAGCGACAUGAUAGAAGCUUCGGUGGAAAUCAUGGGCGGCGAGCGGCGGACGGGUGAGUAAUGCCUGGGAAUAUG